This 995-nucleotide long non-coding RNA is filed under the name Phasianus colchicus (ring-necked pheasant). RNAcentral describes it as "lncRNA (ENSPCLG00000003259.1)". Lineage: Eukaryota; Metazoa; Chordata; Aves; Galliformes; Phasianidae. The record is from RNAcentral.
CUCACAGGUUCUUCUCUUUUUCCCCUGGUGGGGAGAUAUAAACAUGGUUGGCAUAAUGGCAGAGGGACUUCUCAGAGAAAAACAAUAUGUCUCUUUUUUUUUUAAUAGCUCUACAUCAGAAUUUCUUUCAAAUUGUAGGGGAAUUCUUCACUUAUUUAGUGUCACGUAUAGCUAAUAUUUUUUCAUUUUUCAUAAAAGGCUAAUAAAACCCAUGUGGUUAAAUAAUUGGUUUUCAGGAUUGCUUCUGUGAUGGGUGUUUGUCUUUAUUCCAUCACAAACUGUCAUACUGUGCCUGUUACUCUGCUGUGUUACUGUGAGGAGGAGCUCAGUACAGUUGAACCAGAUGCAGUUGCACAGAAUAUAUCACUUCCCAAGAGUAAUUAAUUUGGCCACUAUGAUGUUUAUCUUGCUUUAGUCUGAUUUUUUUUUUUCCCAGCUUUGGCUUUCAUUAGUGUGCUGUCCUCCCUUGUCUGUCACCUGCCAGAAGACAGCACCAUUUUUCUGUGGGUUUGGAGGGGAGCUGCCAUAGGCUGCAUUCUGGUUUGUUCCUGGGCAAGUGCCUGACCAUGAAACAGUCACACUGCACAGCUCCCCAUGUGCACCAUUUAUAGAAGGACCAAGGGCUGCAGCUUGUCCUGCAGUCCUAACAGAGAUCAAGCUGUUACAAGGCAUAUUUCUAAGAAGCUGAGAUUAACAUCUGUCCAUAAUGAAGACAGUCUGGAUAAAAUCUCUUCAGAAGUGAUUAAGGGAAAAUGCAGAAUUUACUUUCACUGAGAAAAGGAAGAGAAGAUUCAGAACUUUAUCUUUUCAGAUAUUUUUGCCGUAACUUUCAGACUAAGAGUACUCGAGACUGGAGCUUACUGCAUCUCAUAAAUACAGUCUCACUUUGAAGUAAGCCCAAGUGAAAUGUUCUUCUUUUCCUUGAAUAUCAAAGGUAAUCCUAUAUCUAGGAAUACAGCUACUUGUUUCCCUUUGAAGCAAAUGCCACAGUAAUU